RNAcentral lists this ribosomal RNA (301 nucleotides) under uncultured bacterium. RNAcentral describes it as "partial 16S ribosomal RNA". It matches the Rfam family "Bacterial small subunit ribosomal RNA", at positions 509 to 809 of the family's 1533-position model. The record is from RNAcentral.
CAGCAGCCGCGGUAAUACGAGGGGGGCAAGCGUUGUUCGGAAUUAUUGGGCGUAAAGGUUGCGUAGGCGGUUUGACAAGUCUUGUGCGAAAUCUCUGGGCUCAACCCAGAGUCUGCACGGGAAACUGUCGGGCUAGAGGAUGGGAGAGGUGAGUGGAAUUUCCGGUGUAGCGGUGAAAUGCGUGGAUAUCGAAAGGAACACCUGUGGCGAAAGCGGCUCACUGGACCAUUUCUGACGCUGAUGCACGAAAGCUAGGGGAGCAAACAGGAUUAGAUACCCGGGUAGUCCCUGUCUCUUAUAU